UAGCAUGGCACACUGAUAGCGAGAGGUAGGGACUGCGGAGCUAGGGGAGCGCGCUGAGGGUGGAAGCCAGGAGCGAAGCCGCCAGGAGGAUGGAUGCUGCGCUCUAGGGCGAGAGAGUAUUUAUUUUCCAUCUUCAUAUGAGCACAAGCUAAGCAAAACCUGGAAACACAAACCAUAUGAAUCUUAGAACUAGAAAAAACUCCAGUGGUCAUAUGGUCCAACUCAUCUGAGCAAGAAUCCUGUCUACAAGGCGCCUGGAAAGGGGUCAUCCAGUUUUUUUUCCUGGAGACUCCCAUAAGAACAGAAUCCUGAUUGGCUGUUCUACAUCCUAAAGGGGUGGAUUCGUCUAUGAACCUCAUCUCUCAAACCCUGAAAAUGAGUGACUGAUUGGGACAUCAAAGCCAUUUAUUUCUUAGGUGCAAGCCUCAAAUAUGUUUCAGAAUGGCAAGAACAUAACUCCAAGUACCGCAGUUAUUUAAGUGGUGGAACACAACAAGCAAUGAAUUUCUCCGGCAGAAGAGAUUUAUGGCAACAGCUUACAAGAUGCAGUGAAUCCUUUGAAAUCCGUCCCUGUGGACCAAAGUCUGCCCACCCUGCUAACUCUUCAACCCAUCUUUACCCUAAUCUGGCAUUUCCCUUAUUUUCAAGCUUUUUGACAUAGUUUUCUGAUAGAAAAAGGCACAUAAACUGGACCAUGAUUGUAUAAGAUCUCAGCUCUGUGACCAUCUGAGCAAAGAAUUAUUUGUAGUAGGUAUGCAUAUACCGACAGCAUAGCAUUUGACAAAUAAUUGAAUAGAAAAGAACACUUCCUACCUAUCUAUACUUGAGUUUUAAAACAAAAAUGGAGCAGCAAUAAUAAAUUAGUAUCAUUGCUCAUAAUUUAUAUUUUCAUAGCACUUUAAGAUAUGCAAAGUACCUUUUUUCACAACAAUCUGGAAAGGUGGGUAACAAAAGUAUUAUUAUCAUUUCCAUUUCCAGCUGAGGAAACUGGCACUCUGAAAAGUUUAGUGACUUAUCAAAGGUUGCAUAGCUAAGUGUCAGGGCUGAUACAGGGCCAGGCUAAGAUUCAAACCCAGGUCUCUCCUAACUCCAAAUCCAAUUUUCUCUCAAAACACUGCUCAUCAAUGACUGUGCAACAGAAUUAUUAGAAAUUACUUUAGCUACAGCAAACAUUUUAUUUGGUUGCUAACGUGUACAUGCAUAUAUGUGCAGAAAUAUAUGUGUGCACAUGUACAUAUAUGUGUAUAUAAU
Phascolarctos cinereus (koala) is the source of this 1251-nucleotide non-coding RNA. NCBI's taxonomy places the organism in Eukaryota, Metazoa, Chordata, Mammalia, Diprotodontia, Phascolarctidae. The record is from RefSeq and is a predicted model, not a curated record.